AGAGUUUGAUCCUGGCUCAGGACGAACGCUGGCGGCGUGCCUAAUACAUGCAAGUAGAACGCUGAAGAGAGGAGCUUGCUCUUCUUGGAUGAGUUGCGAACGGGUGAGUAACGCGUAGGUAACCUGCCUUGUAGCGGGGGAUAACUAUUGGAAACGAUAGCUAAUACCGCAUAACAAUGGAUGACCCAUGUCAUUUAUUUGAAAGGGGCAAAUGCUCCACUACAAGAUGGACCUGCGUUGUAUUAGCUAGUAGGUGAGGUAACGGCUCACCUAGGCGACGAUACAUAGCCGACCUGAGAGGGUGAUCGGCCACACUGGGACUGAGACACGGCCCAGACUCCUACGGGAGGCAGCAGUAGGGAAUCUUCGGCAAUGGGGGCAACCCUGACCGAGCAACGCCGCGUGAGUGAAGAAGGUUUUCGGAUCGUAAAGCUCUGUUGUAAGUCAAGAACGAGUGUGAGAGUGGAAAGUUCACACUGUGACGGUAGCUUACCAGAAAGGGACGGCUAACUACGUGCCAGCAGCCGCGGUAAUACGUAGGUCCCGAGCGUUGUCCGGAUUUAUUGGGCGUAAAGCGAGCGCAGGCGGUUUGAUAAGUCUGAAGUUAAAGGCUGUGGCUCAACCAUAGUUCGCUUUGGAAACUGUCAAACUUGAGUGCAGAAGGGGAGAGUGGAAUUCCAUGUGUAGCGGUGAAAUGCGUAGAUAUAUGGAGGAACACCGGUGGCGAAAGCGGCUCUCUGGUCUGUAACUGACGCUGAGGCUCGAAAGCGUGGGGAGCGAACAGGAUUAGAUACCCUGGUAGUCCACGCCGUAAACGAUGAGUGCUAGGUGUUGGAUCCUUUCCGGGAUUCAGUGCCGCAGCUAACGCAUUAAGCACUCCGCCUGGGGAGUACGACCGCAAGGUUGAAACUCAAAGGAAUUGACGGGGGCCCGCACAAGCGGUGGAGCAUGUGGUUUGAUUCGAAGCAACGCGAAGAACCUUACCAGGUCUUGACAUCCCGAUGCUAUUUCUAGAGAUAGAAAGUUACUUCGGUACAUCGGUGACAGGUGGUGCAUGGUUGUCGUCAGCUCGUGUCGUGAGAUGUUGGGUUAAGUCCCGCAACGAGCGCAACCCCUAUUGUUAGUUGCCAUCAUUCAGUUGGGCACUCUAGCGAGACUGCCGGUAAUAAACCGGAGGAAGGUGGGGAUGACGUCAAAUCAUCAUGCCCCUUAUGACCUGGGCUACACACGUGCUACAAUGGUUGGUACAACGAGUUGCGAGUCGGUGACGGCAAGCUAAUCUCUUAAAGCCAAUCUCAGUUCGGAUUGUAGGCUGCAACUCGCCUACAUGAAGGCGGAAUCGCUAGUAAUCGCGGAUCAGCACGCCGCGGUGAAUACGUUCCCGGGCAUUGUACACACCGCCCGUCACACCACGAGAGUUUGUAACACCCGAAGUCGGUGAGGUAACCUUUUGGAGCCAGCCGCCUAAGGUGGGAUAGAUGAUUGGGGUGAAGUCGUAACAAGGUA
This 1506-nucleotide ribosomal RNA is filed under the name metagenome. Its description in RNAcentral is "bacterial SSU rRNA". It matches the Rfam family "Bacterial small subunit ribosomal RNA". The record is from RNAcentral.